Molecule: long non-coding RNA, 521 nt
Organism: Musa acuminata AAA Group (dessert banana)
Lineage: Eukaryota; Viridiplantae; Streptophyta; Magnoliopsida; Zingiberales; Musaceae
Exons: 3
Source: RefSeq, a predicted model, not a curated record
CGAUUGACUCAGUCCGAGUCAUAUAUUUGUAGCCGAACAACUCGGCCGAACCUUCCCCUCUUCCUUUCCCUCUCCUCUUUCCCUCGUCGAAACGCUUCGAUGCCAUUUCAUUUCAACAUCCAAACGAAGAAAGAGGGCGGUUUUGAUGGGCAAUUCUUGUCGAGAUUCUUGGCAAGCAAGAUCGACCCCCCACACCGCCGCCAAUCCAUCGGCAUUCCCGACGACUCCUCCAAGAAGCCGCCGCCUUCACGAGGCGACUCCAACUACGUGUUCUACCAUGAGACGCCCAAUCUCCAGGACUCGUGGGGAGGAAAUGGGGGCAGAUUCAUGACGAGUACACAUAUAUGCGAGAAAUAUGUAUUGAGUUCAAGAUCUGGAUCGGGUGUAACCAGCAGGGAUUAUUGGUUCAAACCCUACUAGCUUUUCUACUUCCCCACAACCUUCGUUCCAUCUCUUGCGCAGAGCGUGAUCUUCAGUCCGUACUUCAUGUACAUGGUGAGCGCCAUCUUCGGCACCACCGG